RNAcentral lists this ribosomal RNA (373 nucleotides) under uncultured bacterium. Its description in RNAcentral is "bacterial SSU rRNA". It matches the Rfam family "Bacterial small subunit ribosomal RNA", at positions 521 to 896 of the family's 1533-position model. The record is from RNAcentral.
UAAUACGGAGGGUGCAAGCGUUAUCCGGAUUUACUGGGUUUAAAGGGUGCGUAGGCGGGCCCUUAAGUCAGUGGUGAAAGCUCCGAGCUUAACUCGGAAACUGCCAUUGAUACUAUAGGUCUUGAAUUCGGUCGAGGUUGGCGGAAUGUGUCGUGUAGCGGUGAAAUGCUUAGAUAUGACACAGAACACCGAUUGCGAAGGCAGCUAGCUAGACCGACAUUGACGCUGAGGCACGAAAGCGUGGGGAUCAAACAGGAUUAGAAACCCUGGUAGUCCACGCCCUAAACUAUGAUUACUCGAUGUUGGCGAUACACUGCCAGCGUCUAAGCGAAAGCAUUAAGUAAUCCACCUGGGGAGUACGAUCGCAAGAUUG